GACAAGGUGGCUGAAGUUUUAGGCUGUAAAUUGUAAAUUUACAUAUGAGUUUAUACCUCUCUUGUUA
This 67-nucleotide transfer RNA is filed under the name Nabicula flavomarginata. RNAcentral's name for it is "tRNA-Tyr". The record is from RNAcentral. Lineage: Eukaryota; Metazoa; Arthropoda; Insecta; Hemiptera; Nabidae.